AAACCAACAGGGAUUGCCCUAGUAACGGCGAGUGAAGCGGCAACAGCUCAAAUUUGAAAUCUGGCCCUCGGGUCCGAGUUGUAAUUUGUAGAGGAUGCUUUUGGCGCGGUGCCUUCCGAGUUCCCUGGAACGGGACGCCUUAGAGGGUGAGAGCCCCGUACGGUUGGACACUAAGCCUCUGUAAAGCUCCUUCGACGAGUCGAGUAGUUUGGGAAUGCUGCUCUAAAUGGGAGGUAAAUUUCUUCUAAAGCUAAAUAUUGGCCAGAGACCGAUAGCGCACAAGUAGAGUGAUCGAAAGAUGAAAAGCACUUUGAAAAGAGGGUUAAAUAGCACGUGAAAUUGUUGAAAGGGAAGCGUUUGCGACCAGACCUUUUCCUGGCGGAUCAUCCGGUGUUCUCACCGGUGCACUUCGCCAGGUUGAGGCCAGCAUCGGUUUUCGCAGGGGGAUAAAAGCCCGGGGAACGUAGCUCCUCCGGGAGUGUUAUAGCCCCUCGCAUAAUACCCUUGCGGGGACCGAGGACCGCGCUUUUUGGCAAGGAUGCUGGCGUAAUGGUCGUCAACGAC
Molecule: ribosomal RNA, 564 nt
Filed under: Xylaria psidii
Lineage: Eukaryota; Fungi; Ascomycota; Sordariomycetes; Xylariales; Xylariaceae
Description: eukaryotic LSU rRNA
Rfam family: Eukaryotic large subunit ribosomal RNA
Source: RNAcentral